AACGGGUGAGUAACACGUGAGUAACCUGCCCCGGACUCUGGGAUAAGCAUUCGAAAGGGUGUCUAAUACUGGAUAGGACCUUCACCUGCAUGGGUGGGGGUGGAAAGAUUUUUUGGUUCGGGAUGGGCUCGCGGCCUAUCAGCUUGUUGGUGGGGUGAUGGCCUACCAAGGCGUCGACGGGUAGCCGGCCUGAGAGGGCGACCGGCCACACUGGGACUGAGAUACGGCCCAGACUCCUACGGGAGGCAGCAGUGGGGAAUAUUGCGCAAUGGGCGGAAGCCUGACGCAGCAACGCCGCGUGCGGGAUGACGGCCUUCGGGUUGUAAACCGCUUUCACCCAUGACGAANUUUUUUGUGACGGUAGUGGGAGAAGAAGCACCGGCCAACUACGUGCCAGCAGCCGCGGUGAUACGUAGGGUGCGAGCGUUGUCCGGAAUUAUUGGGCGUANAGAGCUUGUAGGCGGUUUGUCGCGUCGGAAGUGAAAACUCGGGGCUUAACUUCGAGCUUGCUUCCGAUACGGGCUGACUAGAGGAAGUUAGGGGAGAACGGAAUUCCUGGUGGAGCGGUGGAAUGCGCAAAUAUCAGGAGGAACACCGGUGGCGAAGGCGGGUCUCUGGGACUUUUCUGACGCUGAGAAGCGAAGGCGUGGGGGAGCAACAGGCUUUAGAUACCCUGGUAGUCCACGCCGUAAACGGUGGGCACUAGGUGUGGGGGACA
This 718-nucleotide ribosomal RNA is filed under the name uncultured Actinomycetes bacterium. Its description in RNAcentral is "bacterial SSU rRNA". It matches the Rfam family "Bacterial small subunit ribosomal RNA", at positions 101 to 831 of the family's 1533-position model. Lineage: Bacteria; Bacillati; Actinomycetota; Actinomycetes. The record is from RNAcentral.